Molecule: ribosomal RNA, 464 nt
Filed under: uncultured bacterium
Lineage: Bacteria
Description: partial 16S ribosomal RNA
Rfam family: Bacterial small subunit ribosomal RNA
Source: RNAcentral
GACGAACGCUGGCGGCGUGCUUAACACAUGCAAGUCGAACGGUAAGGCCCCAGCUUGCUGGGGUACACGAGUGGCGAACGGGUGAGUAACACGUGGGUGACCUGCCCCACACUUCGGGAUAAGCCUGGGAAACUGGGUCUAAUACCGGAUAGGACCGCACCGUGAGGGUGUGGUGGAAAGUUUUUCGGUGUGGGAUGGGCCCGCGGCCUAUCAGCUUGUUGGUGGGGUAAUGGCCUACCAAGGCGGCGACGGGUAGCCGGCCUGAGAGGGUGGACGGCCACAUUGGGACUGAGACACGGCCCAGACUCCUACGGGAGGCAGCAGUGGGGAAUAUUGCACAAUGGGCGGAAGCCUGAUGCAGCGACGCCGCGUGGGGGAUGACGGCCUUCGGGUUGUAAACUCCUUUCACCAUCGACGAAGGUUUUCUGACGGUAGAUGGAGAAGAAGCACCGGCUAACUACGUG